UAGAGGAGCGCGUUAGUCCAAUCAGCGUCAGGAGCGGAAGUAUGAUGGCGGCGGAGGGAGACAGACGUGACGCGUGCGCUGCUGGAAGUAAACAGGAGCAGCGCAGCAGCCACGGAAGACACCGGGAUGUGUUCAGAGACUGCGUUGGCUCUAUAAUCCAGUCCCUCGCUGAGUUUGGCGCAAAGUUAAAAGUGGGUGAUAAUGAGUUGAGCAUCAGUGCCAGUGUCAACCAUCUAAACUUCUCUGAACUUCAGCCAUCUCAAGUUAAUACCUAUUUACAACAGCACAUCUCCAAACUACAGUUAGUCUCUGAAAAUCUGAAGCAAAUGGUGGAGUCUGAAGUCCACUCCAUCCCAGGCAGCAGUGACAGGAAAGAAACAGCAGAUACAUCUGAGCAUCCUACAUCUGACCACGGCACAGUUCAUAACAAGCCUCAAAUCGAUGAUAAUGUGCAGAUAAAGGCUGCUAAAUCUGAGAUUGAACGUAGGAUAUCUGCAUUUAUAGAGCACAAACAGCUGGAGAUCAAUGAAAACAAUGUGAGGGAGUUUUGCAACAUGAUCGACUGCAAUCAGGAGGACAGCUGUGCAAGAACUGAUGCAGUAUAUACACCAUAUCCUGGUUUCAAGAGUCAUGUCAAAGUGAAGCGUGUUAUGAAUUCGUAUGGACCUCAAACCAGAGGGACACACACUGAACUUGCAGACCAGCAGCAGGGAUCCAUGAACAGAGACUGUGGAAACCCUGCCGUGGAGGAGAGGCUCCAAAACAUGGAAUCUCACCUUAAACUUCUACCAGCAGGUCCAGUUCCUCAAAGCAUUUAUCAGCGGCUACAGAAACUUGAAGAUCGAAUUCUGGAGCUUGAGGGUCUUUCCCCAGAGUACUUCCACUCCACGCUCACACGUCCGUGUCAUGCUGAAGACUUCUCACUUAUGCGUUUCCUCCUGCGCUCACGACAGUCGGCCGGAGAGUUCUUCAAAACCAUUAAAAGCUGAUAUGAGUGAUAUUUUUUCCCUCACUUCAGAAUUUGUUAUCCCUGUCAGAUUGUAGCCCAUCAAAGUUAGCUGAGUAAGUGCUCUUGAACCGUUUCUACGCCUCCUCACACCAGCUUCACUUAGUUCAGUGCUGAGCUGAAAGCUAGCUGAUUUCCAUGUCCUUUACACUGUGUGUGUGUGUUGCCUUUAAAGUGGAACAUUGAGUGCGGUCAAAUAUGCUGAUCUUCUUGGUUUGUGGUGCAGCUUUCAGUAAGUCAAAUGAAUUAAUUGAACUCGGCUGACCAGGGUGAGCAGAUAUCAUGCAUCUGCCAAGUGGGCAAUAUGCACACUGAAAAGUGAUUAAAAUGAAGGCAAAUUAUGGGUAAUAGAUAAAAAGAGAUAGACAGAAUAAAUGAAAGGACCGUUGGGUGACAGAAAGAAUCCCGAUGGCCCCACUUAAUACUGUUAAUCAGUGUAAGUCUACGGCGGCUCGCUGUGUUGGCAGUGAUUGAGUGAUGCUGAAGGACAUCUCUGUCUCUGUUUCAUACACUAAUCAUGUGCCGCUUCGGUCCACUUACAGUUGUCCUUGGUUCAAUUUAUUGUUUUGGCUGCCAUUACGCCACCCCCCCCCCACACCUUUUUUUUUUCCUGGGAAAAACAACCAUGUAAGAGAUUUUUGUUUAGUCUGAUAUUGAGAUGAAUGCUUUGCCAUUUCAUUGAACGACCACGGUUGUGCAUUGUUCAUAUAAAUCAGCAUUCAUUUCAUGCUUUUAUUUCUUUUAACCUCAGAAUUACUCGCACAAACGACCUAAAGCUUCAGUGUCACAGAGCUACAGUCUCGCUGAGCUGGAUGGGAAGAUCAGUGCCGUCAAAGCCGCCUUGAUGAAGAAAUCCAGCGAGGUCCAACCCACAGACGCAGAGUUUUCAUACUGACACGUG
This is an RNA transcript of Carassius auratus (goldfish), 1907 nucleotides long. It is a transcript of the gene named MAP3K12-binding inhibitory protein 1, with no coding region annotated. Lineage: Eukaryota; Metazoa; Chordata; Actinopteri; Cypriniformes; Cyprinidae. The record is from RefSeq and is a predicted model, not a curated record. The transcript is spliced from 9 exons.